UUCAGAGCCUGCUGUGUCUGGAUUGCCUGGUGCCGGAAUCGGUGUGUGAUUGGCUUGGCAUAGCUCUGGGUGUGGCUAGCAGGGAGGCCCACCCUCAGCCUUGGGGUGGCUGCUAGGGCCCAAGGGCGAGUAGCCUGGACAGAUUACAAGGGCAGAAAGGGCUGCUGCUGCCACUUUUCACUUUACUUCCCUGCCUCCUGCCUUCUGCCCUCCUUGGACUGGUUCCCCGUGAUCCCUUCUGUCGAACCACCCUGCUGUGGAGCCAGCCGACUGUGGACUGAAGCCUCUACAAACGAUCUUUAUGGAUGACAUCAAUAGAUUUUUGAAAGUUGAGACGGCUUUGCUCACCUGGGAUAAAAUUCUACUUGAUUAUGAUCAGGCUCCUUCCCUGCUGCCCACCUGCUGUGGGGAUUUGAAGUCUUUCUGCCCACUCCUUCUCACCAUCUGGAAGCAAUAUCCCCGAGCCUCGGAGAAGCCCCGUCAUGGCGAGACUGACAAUACGUCACCUGCCGCUGCCUACGGUGAUUUAACAGAGGCCCCCAAGCCUGGGGCAUGGCAGGAGCGACAACACCAGCUGC
Fukomys damarensis (Damara mole-rat) is the source of this 578-nucleotide long non-coding RNA. RefSeq lists it as uncharacterized. The transcript has 4 exons. The record is from RefSeq and is a predicted model, not a curated record. NCBI's taxonomy places the organism in Eukaryota, Metazoa, Chordata, Mammalia, Rodentia, Bathyergidae.